This 498-nucleotide ribosomal RNA is filed under the name uncultured bacterium. RNAcentral describes it as "partial 16S ribosomal RNA". It matches the Rfam family "Bacterial small subunit ribosomal RNA", at positions 30 to 523 of the family's 1533-position model. The record is from RNAcentral.
AUUGAACGCUGGCGGCAUGCCUUACACAUGCAAGUCGAACGGUAACAGGUCUUCGGAUGCUGACGAGUGGCGAACGGGUGAGUAAUACAUCGGAACGUGCCCGAGAGUGGGGGAUAACGAAGCGAAAGCUUUGCUAAUACCGCAUACGAUCUCAGGAUGAAAGCAGGGGACCGCAAGGCCUUGCGCUCACGGAGCGGCCGAUGGCAGGUUAGGUAGUUGGUGGGAUAAAAGCUUACCAAGCCGACGAUCUGUAGCUGGUCUGAGAGGACGACCAGCCACGCUGGGACUGAGACACGGCCCAGACUCCUACGGGAGGCAGCAGUGGGGAAUUUUGGACAAUGGGCGCAAGCCUGAUCCAGCCAUGCCGCGUGCAGGAUGAAGGCCUUCGGGUUGUAAACUGCUUUUGUACGGAACGAAAAGACUCUGGUUAAUACCUGGGGUCCAUGACGGUACCGUAAGAAUAAGCACCGGCUAACUACGUGCCAGCAGCCGCAGUAA